AUUGAACGCUGGCGGCAUGCUCUACACAUGCAAGUCGAACGGUAACAGGCCGCAAGGUGCUGACGAGUGGCGAACGGGUGCGUGAUGCAUCGAAACGUGCCCACUCGUUGGGGAUAACUACUCGAAUGAGUAGAUAAUACCUCAUACGAUCUAUGGAUUAAAGCCGGAGACCGUAAUGCCUCGCGCGAUUGGUGCGGCCGAUGUCAGAUUAGUUAGUUGGUGGGGUAAAGGCUCACCAAGCCAACGAUCUGUAGCUGGUCUGAGAGGACGACCAGCCACACUGGGACUGAGACACGGCCCAGACUCCUACGGGAGGCAGCAGUGGGGAAUUUUGGACAAUGGGCGCAAGCCUGAUCCAGCAAUGCCGCGUGCAGGAUGAAGGCCUUCGGGUUGUAAACUGCUUUUGUACGGAACGAAACGGUUUUGGUUAAUACCUGGGGGUAAUGACGGUACCGUAUGAAAAAGCACCGGCUAACUACGUG
Molecule: ribosomal RNA, 482 nt
Filed under: uncultured bacterium
Lineage: Bacteria
Description: partial 16S ribosomal RNA
Rfam family: Bacterial small subunit ribosomal RNA
Source: RNAcentral